UACGAAGGGGGCUAGCGUUGUUCGGAAUUACUGGGCGUAAAGGGCACGUAGGCGGCCAUUCAAGUUAGGUGUGAAAGCCCUGGGCUCAACCUAGGAAUUGCACUUGAUACUGUUUGGCUUGAGUUCGGGAGAGGUGAGUGGAAUUCCCAGUGUAGAGGUGAAAUUCGUAGAUAUUGGGAAGAACACCAGUGGCGAAGGCGGCUCACUGGACCGACACUGACGCUGAGGCGCGAAAGCGUGGGGAGCAAACAGG
RNAcentral lists this ribosomal RNA (253 nucleotides) under uncultured bacterium. RNAcentral describes it as "partial 16S ribosomal RNA". It matches the Rfam family "Bacterial small subunit ribosomal RNA", at positions 524 to 776 of the family's 1533-position model. The record is from RNAcentral.